UGUCAUUUUGAUCCUCAGCUCUAGCAUUGCAAAGGAGGAGUGAGAAAACAGACCUGCUAUGUGGAAUGUAGGCAUGGCAAUUGCAAUUUCACAGCAAAUAGUUCUAUUAUUAGUGCUUCUUUAAGGAGUGACAGAUUUGUCUUGGGAAUUUCUUCUUCGCUGUCUUUGUUUCCUCUAAGGUCUGUAUAGUCCAGCAGAAUCAAUCUACUAAAAGAUCUGAUAGACCUAAAAAUGAUGAAAUAUCAUCCUCAUUCAUACCUCUUCCUCCUGUUUAUGAAAAGAGCCAAAGGAGUAAAGGAAGUGCAGGGAGUUUUAGUCCCUCUGUCAUGGGCAGAUAAGGAUCACAGUGCAUUUACUGGAAUCACCUUCAUGCUAAAACAACAGAGGACAAAUCUCUGCACUCACAGCAUUAUAUUGCACCCACUCAUUUGCUACAAGCAGGAAGAAAUUAAACGUGCAAUAACAUUUUGUUCAAAUAUAAAUGCUUUCAACUUUUAUGAUGUUAACUGUUUGAAAAAAUAUUUUUGAUAACAGCACUGUUUUUGUUUCACAGAUCUCUCCCCUUUCCCUGUAAGCAUCAAUCCCUCACAAUACUGAACAUAAGCUGUACAUGCAAAAAAAUUAUAUACAAGUUAACAAAGCCUAAGUUUAUUAGAAACCACAUCUACUUUCAUUUGAAAGUGGGUUUGUUAGCCUCAUCUGUAAGAGGGUAGUGACCGAAAGAAAAAGCAAUAAAGUGAGUAAAUUCUAAAUUGCUCAAAUUUAAAUUUGGUGAAUCCAUCCUACCUGGUCUGUCUUGUUGUGCAAGUCAGCAACAGAGUGUCGCAGUUUAACCUAGCAGAGGAGGGGAGUUCCCUUUUUCUUUACUAAAACUGCUCCUGUUCUCAGCCCAUGACCCUUUUUUUCAUCAUAUUUCUCUUUCUCCCCUCCCUCCCCUCUGUACUUUUGAGGAAGGGGAAGUGAGAGAACAGCAUGAUGGAGUUGGGCUUGACCACCCUUGGCACAGUCAAGUAUCACGCUCAGAUUAGGAGCAUGAAGGGCCACCAAAGUAUCACCAGAUUAUCUAGGAUACUCUCUCCAUUCUUCCCCCCAUUAUACAAUUAGGAAAGUAUUUUUUGUUUUGUUCUUUCAUUUAUGUUUUGUACUUUGGUCUCUCAGUUCUCAUUUUUUCAUGGUUUGUCCCCAUCUUUCAACUUCAUUCACUGGAAUGGCAGAUUUUUCUAACUCAUGCAAGAUGCUUUCCUCCAGAAUGGGAUUUUGUUUAGAGAAAACUCUCAGAGGUAAGACCAGUUACCAUGUUCCACGAGGUUACUAUUACAGUUGCUUUCUACAUCUUCCUCCUCUGACACCCCUGGCUGGUGUGUCCCCUGUUUACACCUUCUCACCAACAAGCUUUGGUCUUUGUUCUGAUCUGGAUGAGGUUUAUCCCAUGCAAUUCCCCCCUGACACAAAGCUGGGGGAUUGGAUAGGCAGCCAGCAAGCGAGCUGCUGUGGCAGCAGGGAGCACCACCAUCUCCAAGGUACACCAUGCUCCACCAAGCUCUGGCCGAAUGCAAGAAGCUCCCAGGACAGAGCUGAAACCAAGAUGUUCUCCUUCAGCUGCUGCAGGGAGACAUGCAAGAGUGAGGUGACUCUGUCUACAAGUGUUUGCUGUGAGAAACUUAGAACUGCAAAGGAAUGUGAAUUCUAGGGAGGGGAGUCAGAAAGGAAUAGUCUUUACAUAAUGACAGACAUCUGUGUAAUUUGCCAAAAACCCACAAGAUUUUUGUCUUCUGUAACAGGGGAGGACGUUACUCCCUAAAAUAUGUCAACAGGUGAGAUUUCUUGCCAACUUAACAACAGCAAAUUACAUAAGUGAUUAGGAAAAAAAUAAUUUCCAGUAAAACUAGAUAUAUUGCUACUGCAUUUGGUGAAAUCUCUGCACUGUCAUUUUAGCAGCUCUUCUCAGCAAUUCAGAGUAUUUCCACUUGAUGGCACCAAAUUUUUUUUUUUCCAACUUCAAAGAAUCCUUUAACAAAAGAGAUGCUGAAUUGCAAAGAAAUAAUCAGGACAAAUGCAUGUUUUUCUUUCUGAGCACAUUUCUUAAAAAUCUGGAGGUGUUUUUUUUGUUGUUGUUGUUCUUGUUUUUGUUUUUUUUUAAUAAGGAAUACAGUGAAUUUGAUGCGGUGGCUUUGUCUCUUCUAUUUGACCAUGACCACACAGUCAUUUGAGCUACUUACUUUUCUUCUCUGCUUAGAGUGUAUCUCCAUUCAGUGAAGGUUGUGUUUAUCAUAUUGUUAUAAAGUAGGCUCCUGAAUAUGGAUGAAUCAUGCAUUUUAAAAUAAAUUUUGUUUCUGUCCCUAUCUUUGAAACUCGUCCUUUGCUUAUCUUAAAAAUGAAGGGCACUCAAACAGAUUAUCACAAAAUAAAAGGCAAGUUUUUAAGGGUUGAAUAUUAAUUUUGACUCAUAUUCUAAACUGUCUGUUGUUUUUCAAUAGUAAUAUCUGAUGAGCAGUUCUCAGUAAAGUAACUACGGUAAAAACAACUUCUAUAAGCUUUACUUGUAUGUUAUAUACAGGCAGUAGAAGCACAAACAAGCAAAAAUGUAGUUUAAGUAGUUGUCCAAUUCUUGGAGAUUUCACAAGCUUUAGACAAUGUUCAGCAUCGUGUACAAUGUACCAGAUAAUAAUAGAUUAGGUACAGGAUAAUAUCAGAUUAGAGUAAAUAUCCAUUUAUUGUUUCUCAUCUCAUCUCCCAGCAAUAAGCCAUGUGAGGCAGAGCCAAGUCUUGUGUCUGGGUACCUGCAUGGGGGGUUGUCCUCUCUCCCCUAGGUUCGUGAUUAAGCCUCCUGGAUACAGCAGUGACAUAAACUAUGCACAGAACCACCUGUUGUGGUUCUACAGCUGCAAACCAGCAUUUUAGCUGUGUCUAAUGAAAUCUGUCUCAUUUAUCUCAGCAAAACAGAGAAUGCAGUGCAGCAUUGAUACAGGGAAGGCCUCGGGGAGUCCUGGCCAGAAGAGGAUAGGGAGGCAGGGACAGAUCAGAGUUCGGUGCAUGUCCUCAUCCAAAAUUAGGAUAUCAGUGAAGGGUUUCUAAGACAAAAGGCAAUCCCAAGAUUCUUCUGCCACAGACUGCAUUUUGUGCUAGAAUUUAUGUGAGUACAGUCUGCAAUGAACCUUCUAUACAGAGGUGUGUGCAUGCAAAACAAUUAGAAUGUGCUGCUGUUUUGGGCAGGUCCAAAUCAGCUGCUCUGUGCAAAGCUAGGCAGACAUUUCCCAGAUAUGUGACAGCUACUGUCACACACUACAGAGCUGCCCUGUGCCCAUGGGCAGUCACUCAUACAUGCAGAUACUCAGCAUGGUUGGAGCUGUCUGCUGCCAUGACUUGGCCGCCAGAUGUCCUGGUGUCUCAUUCAGCUUACAGCAAAGAGGACUUCUUUGGAAAAGCUUCAUCCAGAAGCUCCCCUCCCCUUCUGUCACCUGCCCUCAAGUUUUAAAUUGUUCCCAGUCCAGUCCUGCAUCUGCCUCUAAAGUACUUCUUUGGUUCUUGAAUGUUAAAGAAUUAUUCAGUUCAACCUUUCCAUCUAGCUCCAGCUUACAAAUCUAUGAUCUGACUUAUUUCCUAUUUCAGAAGUAUCUUUCAGCUCUAAUUUCCACAGUUUCUUCUGUGAGAAAGCAAGCCACUGGCCCAGUCCUGGUUUCCACCAGUAAUGUUUUCACACAAUCUUAGCUCCAUAUGAGACCUAUGCUUGAGGAUAUGAACAUUUCGAGUAGUUAAGGUUCUUGAGCCAGGACCUGAACUCAGCCACUCAGAUUAAUUGGUCUCAUAGGCUGGCCUUCCUCCUUAGAAGAACUGCAUGGAAGAAAGUCCAAUACUGAAAACAUGGAAGCACUCUUCAUGGAAAUACAGUUACUGUUUUAAACAAGUCUUUUAUUGUUUCUGCAUAACAACAUCACUUAUUACAGCUAACUAUUGAAAAACAAACAAACAAAAGCCAUUUUCAUUUGAUUUCACGUUCUUGCUCUAUAAUUUUGUCAUCCACAAUCCAGGAAGAAAAUUCUCUCACUCCAGUGCAGUGAAUUACUAUAUGACAUUUGUGAUGUCUCAUUUCCCACCAAAAAAAAAAAAAGAAAGAAAUUCAAGAGGCUGCAGAAAAAGCAUGAGUCUCCUUUCUGUCUUGUAGAGAGGCUGGAAAAUGCAAAGAACAAUCAUUACUAGCCAGAGCUUUAUUAGAAAUGAAAAAUAGCAUCUGGAAGCAAUGCUUGUCUUUUCCUCAGCAAAGAAAACUGCCAGCACCACAGCUUCUUCCAACACCACUUUGAGUAUCUAGAGUCCAACCCAAAGCAUCUCCACCUGCAAAGUCCUCCAGCACAACUCCACUUCUGCCCUACACGAGCUUAGUCAGCAGCUGUGUCUUCCCUAGCAUAGAAGUCUGACAGCCAAAUUUGUUUUUCUUGGGGAUGUUUAUCUCACUUAAACCCCUAAUUUUCUCUAUACAAUAGAGAUUAGUCAUGUUAACUCACAAUUAAAUCAGGUGUUAAUCCCAAAAAGAAAACUCUUAAUAACUCUUUCCCCUCCUACGUUCCAACAAACACUUUUGCCUGAUAAUAUAUCCAUGAUCUGUCACAUUUUAGCAACUAUUUACUGUGGUUCCACCUAAAUUUUUUAUCCCCUCAUUAUUAUCCCUGAAAAUUAUUUAAAGUUAGAAAUAGAGUCAUGAAGCAAACAUGCAUGCCAAUGCUAAAGAGUUCUGCAGGACAGGCAUUCCACCCAUGUACUGCUGUUUCUUAUUUUGUGUGUGACAAGGACUUCAUGUGUAAUUACUGAUGGUGUGAAACUUUGAAAACUACAGAUUCUGCAUUUAGAUUUUAGAUGAUUCUGGCUGCUUUGCUGCUAUACAAGGGUAUUUUUGCCCUGAUUGUGGUUGUCCCAAUCACAUCUGGGUGCCACACUCUAAGUUCUCUAAGAUGCAUAGUCUGUGCCAUUCUGCAUCUAUACUAAUUACAAGUGGCAGAAGCCAGGCUAGACCCAGCACCCUGCGUGUUUUGCCUUUCCCAGGUGAGAAAACAGCUGACCUUCUCCAAAGCUGGUGCAGAAGCCCAGCACAUGACCCUGUGGAGGGUGUAGGAGCUGAGGCCCUGAGACGGGCACAAGCCAGCGUGCAGGCCUGUUUACUGCAGCUGCAGGUUGUUAGCAGGCCUUCCAGUGCAUCCCUCCACAGAUCUCUAUCACUGUAAGCUGCCUCUCCAAGAUGCUAACGUACAAGCAGAGACAAAUUAACACUGACACUGGCUUUUGUGCUAAUGCCAGAAAUGUAUUUUGCAAGAGCAGAAGCUGCUGAAGAAGCUGAAGUGGAAGUAGAGGUGGAAGGAGUUAAUCUGUGCAGGAUCUGAAGCAGCUAAGUGGUUGGCAAUCCAGGAAGCUGCUCACUUCCGAAUGGUAUUGGGCAAAAGACAGAGAUAUCAGAGGAGUAAGGGUCUCAAGUGGCAAGUUCACUGAAGCAGAGGAAAAAUCCAGAUACGUUGGUUUUGCUGUUUCAGUCUUAUUGUUCUGUCAAGAGAAAGACCUUUCAUACAAAGAAGUGCUUUCAAUGAGAUAAAUCAGGAACCCACAGAGGCAGCUCUGUACGUGAGUAACCCAGUUAUACCUAUUUCACUGGUAAAUGUGACAUUAUGGUGACUAAGACCACAAGAGGAUGAGACACAAAAGAAAUACAGAAGAGAAGAGAUUACAAAAAUAUACAGUAAUAUCAGUGAUAUACAUAUGAAGUAGAAAGGUAUUAACAAGCAAGAUCCUCCUGGAUGACAUGCUUGAUCACAUAAGGAAUGAGCAUGUGAUCUCAGACAGCCAGCAUGGCUGCACCAAGGGAAGGUCAUGCUUGACCAAUCUGGUGGCCUUCUAUGAUGGAGUGACGGCAUCGGGGGACAAGGGAAAAUGACCAAUGUCAUUUACCUGGACUCAAACAAGGCCUUUGACAUGGUCCCCCACCACAUCCUUAUCUCCAAAUUGGAGGGAUGUGGAUUUGAUGGGUGUACCACUCAAUGGAUAAGAAACUGGUUGAAAGACUGCAGACAGAGGGUGGUCAUCAGUGGUUCUACGUCCAUGUGGAGGCCGGUAACGAGCAGCAUCCCCCAGGGGUCUGUCUUGGGACCGGUGCUCUGUAACAUCUUUAUCAAGGACAUCGAUGGUAGAAUCGAGUGGCCCUGGGCAACCUGGUCUAGUAUUAAAUGGGGAGGUUGGUGGCCCUGCCUGUGGUGGGGGGUUGGAGAUUCAUGAUCCUUGAGGUCCCUUCCAACCCUGGCCAUUCUGUGAUUCUGUGAAUCAAGUACUAAACACGAAAUGCAUCAGUAUGCCAGCAGACAUUCCAGCUUAGAAACAGAAGCAUGCAGCAAAGAUAUUACAGAGUAUUUUUUACAGAUGUGUAUUACAUCAAGAAGGAAGGGAAUGUGUAGCGCUAUAGACAUGGUGACACAGUGCAAAGCAUCUUAACGAGCAUCCCCCACUGACAAACAGAAACAGCUCAAGUCAGAAGGCACACAACUGAAGAACAUCUCCAAAAAAAGUAAUGCAACAGCAGUGAAAGUAUGUUGCCUAUGUUUGCCUACUAUACAAGCUAAGAACUGCAUUUUGGUACGGCACACACAAAUACAUGAACAAAUCCAGAAAAAAAAAAAAAGAAUUUUAAAAUGGAUGCUGGAACACAAAUAAGCUUUUGAGAAAGAAGGUAGAGUUUGUACCAUACCAUGAGAUUAUUUUGGGAAAUGUGAUUAACGGGAUCUACAACAGAGCAGGCACAGAAAGAAAAUAUGAACAGCACCUCUGUGCAUGAGGACUUACCUGCAAACGUGGCACAUGAAGGAUGAUACAUUUACUGAAACUUCUACCAGGAAAAGAAUGUGAAAGGACAUCUCACAGCUGAGGGGAAAAAAAAAAAAAAAAAAAAAAAUGUUGUGUGAAAAGAAAGGGUAUCAAUAAUUAGUCAUGGCAUUUCUGAAUGCCAUCUAUUUUCUGAGGAAUGCGUAAUAUAUGGGUGGAGUUGAGUGACAUAGUCAUGUGCCUUCCAGCAUAGGAAGGUGUUAUUUGGCUAACUUUAUUUAGCUAAGUUAGUUCGAAUGCUUAUGACUAUGCUCAGGUAUCACCAGCUGAUCACAACUCCUCAAUGAUAAUUUAGUUAGUAAAUUAAUAAAUAAAGAAGGCAAAACUAACUAAGGCACAUUUCAUGCAACCAGUUUUAGAAGAGAUGAAUCACUCUAUGAAUGCUUUUUCUCUCCAUAAGGGGAUUCUGGACAUUGGUAGACAAUUAGACCAUGAAUGCCUUCUAUUAGGGCACAAAAAAACACUGCUUUCUAAUUAUCCUCCAUAUCUGUUGAUCAGACUUACUGGGCAUAAUGUGUGUGUUUUGAAGUCUUGCUUGUACCACCUGUUUAGUUUGAAUUUUCUUUUGCUGUGAGCAGUUUGACCUAUGACGACAUGUUAAGAUAGAAUCAGUGACACUAAGUACCACGAAUUGGUGUCAUCACAAUGAGUACGGAAAAAAUAUAUGUAACAGCCUUCUAAAUACUGACCUCCAAAAGUAGUAUGGCUGCAAUCAAACUGCUCAGCGGGAGCGGUCUCCAGCCUUGCCCUGAAAUUGGUUGGUUGGCACAUGGUAGAUGAUGCUGGUGACAGGCUAGCAGUUAGGUAGCGUGACUGAGAUUCAGUGCCAGGAAGGUUCCCAAGCUCUACCUGAUCAGCAGUUUUGGAAGUAGCCAGUGCCACCACUCUAAUAGCAAGGACAGGAUCUGUUUUCUAUUUCCUAAACUUGAGCCUAUGUCUCCAUUGGGAUGUUAUUUCUGAGCAGCUUCUGAUGCUUGAGGACUUCCUGCAAGCCAAGUGCAUCUGUGCAGGGUCCCAAGCUUGGAUAGUGACAAGACACGGGUAUCUUUGAGAGGAAUUAACAAAGCCCCAGAACAAAGUAUUUUGAUUCAGGUUUGGAUGAAUACAUGUGUUUUUUUUUUUCCCUGUGUGUGUGUUUGUGUCUGGGGGGUAGGGAAGAGUUAACUACUUAUGCAAAAUGAAAUUAUAGGGAAAAACAAGUUGGUAACCUUGUGUUUCCCCUAAAACUUCCCACUGAAUUUCAGCUAUUUGCUUUCAAUUACCAGUCCCUCCCCCACAAAAAAAAAAAAAAAAAAAAAAAAAAAAAUUGCUUAAAUCUCUGCCCUUCACAAAUGAAUCACUGAGCAAAGACUUAGUUCAAUUGGAUUUCACAGAGAUGACAGGAUCUGUCAGUGACUUUAACAAUGAAGGUUUUCUCCUACAUCUAGUUUUGUAUGCCAAGUUUCUUGGUGCUUCACCACAGCCUUAGACACAAUCCGUGUAAUUCCAGUGCAAAAGUCUAACUCAAGAGUGUUUCUUCAGUGUGGGGAGGGAUCUGCUAUGUACAAUUUAUAAGCAAAACAGUCACCCACCUAAUCAUUAUGAGGAGUUAAAUGAGCACAUAAUUCAAGGAUAUCUUGUAAUGACCCACUUUUGUCUUUAAUAUGGACGAAUAUAAGAUGAUAGCAUUAGUGGUCUGAUUGGGAUUUAAAAGAAAAAAACAACACAAUUUUGAAUUCCAUCUGUCUUCCUUGACAACAAGUUCCUUCAGUGGUGUGAAAAUGGUUCAGGACAGAAAAGCCAAUACCAGAACACUUUUCCAGCUAAUAGAUAUCAAACCCCUGCAUGUUUUCAUGUGACAAAGAUCAGUAAAACAAAGAAAGAAAACCAACCAGGAUGUGCUGCUCCCUCACAAGGAUCACUAGAGCUCAGUCUUGGCUGUGUCCAUCACGAAGUCUGCAUACCACAGGAUCUAGCCGUGUAAAGCACAGAGAACUGAGUUAGAUCCUUAGGCCAUUGAGUCACAUUUGAAGCCUAUUCCCUUUUAUAGGAUAAUAGCCUAUACAAUAUAUAAGCAGAAAAUUGGCAGCUCCUUUACACUGCUAUUAGUGUUAAUAGCUAAUGAACUAUAAAAGCGACAGGGUUUUUUUUUUUCCCCAAUUGAUUAAUUUAAAUUUAACCUUAAUUUGUUUAGAUCUCACUGAGAAGCCGCUACCUUAUUCUGAGCUACAACUGUUGCAAUUAGCAGAAGUAUCCCACUGUGAAUAUAAGGCUGAUUGCAUGCUAUGCAUCUAUUGUGAGAUGACACUGCUUAGAUGUCUGUUGAAGAGAUCAGACAACUAACUCCAAAAAUACAGGAUUAUUUGCAAAUAUUUAGUCAGCAGCAUAAUCUGAAAUGGACUGUUUCCAUUUCAAAAAACAUACGCAUGUUUUAUAGCAUGGUAACAUGUUGUGGGUGGAAAAUAUUGCGUGCCUUAUUUAUUCCGUCCGCUGUUUCUGAGACUCAUUUCUACAGCUAUGAACAAAAUGUUUAUUUUUUUGUGAUACAUUUCUGUUCUCCUCUUUUCAUCUUCAGAAUUCUUACCACGUGGAUUCUAACAUAGCAUCUCUGCAGAGCAAGUAGAUUUAUAAAGAAGAUGUAACACUUGAGGGAAGUUUGUGUCACCGUUAAAGCAGUACAGGAAUGAGGGGAGGGGUGUGUGUAAAUUGUUUGUAGGUGCUGUUUUGAUGCUACAUGAUUUUGUUGUUGGGAAUUCAUUUUGCUGAUAUAAGAGAAGUUUGUGAAGUUUAGGUGAUAAAUCUUUAUAAAGAUUAUUGUAAUGUGUUAUUGUAUGUAUCUAAUGCAGAUUUCUAUCACGAGCUUUCAAACACCCAUAUCUCACUCACACUGGUGCCACCUUCAGUGGAUGGCAAAUUUAAGACACUUAUGUAGAGUUUUUAAUGAAAAUAAACUAUUUAAAAAUA
Molecule: long non-coding RNA, 9798 nt
Organism: Tympanuchus pallidicinctus (lesser prairie-chicken)
Lineage: Eukaryota; Metazoa; Chordata; Aves; Galliformes; Phasianidae
Exons: 2
Source: RefSeq, a predicted model, not a curated record